This 490-nucleotide ribosomal RNA is filed under the name uncultured bacterium. RNAcentral describes it as "partial 16S ribosomal RNA". It matches the Rfam family "Bacterial small subunit ribosomal RNA", at positions 30 to 507 of the family's 1533-position model. The record is from RNAcentral.
AUUGAACGCUGGCGGCAGGCUUAGCACAUGCAAGUCGAGCGGUAACAGAGAGAAGCUUGCUUCUCUGCUGACGAGCGGCGGACGGGUGAGUAAUGCCUAGGAAUCUGCCUAGUAGUGGGGGAUAACUUGCCGAAAGGUAAGCUAAUACCGCAUACGUCCUACGGGAGAAAGGAGGGGACCUUCGGGCCUUUCGCUAUUAGAUGAGCCUAGGUCGGAUUAGUUAGUUGGUGAGGUAAUGGCUCACCAAGACCGCGAUCCGUAACUGGUCUGAGAGGAUGAUCAGUCACACUGGAACUGAGACACGGUCCAGACUCCUACGGGAGGCAGCAGUGGGGAAUAUUGGACAAUGGGGGGAACCCUGAUCCAGCCAUGCCGCGUGUGUGAAGAAGGUCUUAGGAUUGUAAAGCACUUUAAGUUGGGAGGAAGAGCAGUUAACUAAUAUUUGACUGUUUUGACGUUACCGACAGAAUAAGCACCGGCUAACUUCGUG